UGGUGCCGUCAGGGGUGACCGAGAGGAAAGUGGGUCCGCUGGAUAAACCUGACAUGGUGUCAGUUGAUGUCAUUAACAUCAAUGAUUCAGAUGUCAACUUGCACAGGAAGAAGCAUGAACAUGACACAUACGUCUUGGGAACCAUUCAUCCAUUCAGGAAGACGCACAGAUCCAUCUUUGGGAAACUUGUGCAGGAAUUGAGACUGGUCUCCUCAGAUAGACGG
Molecule: non-coding RNA, 224 nt
Organism: Labrus bergylta (ballan wrasse)
Lineage: Eukaryota; Metazoa; Chordata; Actinopteri; Labriformes; Labridae
Source: RefSeq, a predicted model, not a curated record